GAACCCCGACGGGAGUCGAACCCAUACCUUCGACGCGGUGGCCGACGUGCUACGCACUACACUACGAGGUU
Podospora pseudocomata is the source of this 71-nucleotide non-coding RNA. The record is from the annotation of a RefSeq genome assembly. Lineage: Eukaryota; Fungi; Ascomycota; Sordariomycetes; Sordariales; Podosporaceae.